GACGAACGCUGGCGGCGUGCUUAACACAUGCAAGUCGUACGGUAAGGCCCUUUCGGGGGUACACGAGUGGCGAACGGGUGAGUAACACGUGAGUAACCUGCCCACAACUUUGGGAUAACGCUAGGAAACUGGUGCUAAUACUGGAUAUGUGCUCCUGCUGCAUGGUGGGGGUUGGAAAGCUCCGGCGGUUGUGGAUGGACUCGCGGCCUAUCAGCUUGUUGGUGGGGUAGUGGCCUACCAAGGCGGCGACGGGUAGCCGGCCUGAGAGGGUGACCGGCCACAUUGGGACAGAGAUACGGCCCAGACUCCUACGGGAGGCAGCAGUGGGGAAUAUUGCACAAUGGGCGCAAGCCUGAUGCAGCAACGCCGCGUGCGGGAUGACGGCCUUCGGGUUGUAAACCGCUUUCAGCAGGGACGAAGCUUUUUGUGACGGUACCUGCAGAAGAAGCACCGGCUAACUACGUG
RNAcentral lists this ribosomal RNA (465 nucleotides) under uncultured bacterium. Its description in RNAcentral is "partial 16S ribosomal RNA". It matches the Rfam family "Bacterial small subunit ribosomal RNA", at positions 28 to 507 of the family's 1533-position model. The record is from RNAcentral.